RNAcentral lists this ribosomal RNA (253 nucleotides) under uncultured bacterium. RNAcentral describes it as "partial 16S ribosomal RNA". The stretch from base 27 to 253 matches the Rfam family "Bacterial small subunit ribosomal RNA", at positions 550 to 776 of the family's 1533-position model. The record is from RNAcentral.
UACCAGCACCCCGAGUGGUCGGGACGUUUAUUGGGCCUAAAGCAUCCGUAGCCGGUUCUACAAGUCUUCCGUUAAAUCCAACUGCUUAACAGGUGGGCUGCGGAAGAUACUAUAGAGCUAGGAGGCGGGAGAGGCAAGCGGUACUCGAUGGGUAGGGGUGAAAUUCGUAGAUAUUCGCAAGAACACCAGUGGCGAAGGCGGCUCACUGGCCCGGUACUGACGCUGAGGUGCGAAAGCGUGGGGAGCAAACAGG